This 553-nucleotide ribosomal RNA is filed under the name uncultured bacterium. Its description in RNAcentral is "bacterial SSU rRNA". It matches the Rfam family "Bacterial small subunit ribosomal RNA", at positions 339 to 906 of the family's 1533-position model. The record is from RNAcentral.
CUACGGGAGGCAGCAGUGGGGAAUUUUCCGCAAUGGGCGAAAGCCUGACGGAGCAAUACCGCGUGAGGGAAGACGGCCUAUGGGUUGUAAACCUCUUUUUUCAGGGAGGAAUUUUGACGUGUACCUGAAGAAUAAGCAUCGGCUAACUCCGUGCCAGCAGCCGCGGUAAGACGGAGGAUGCAAGUGUUAUCCGGAAUCACUGGGCGUAAAGCGUCUGUAGGUGGUUGAACAAGUCAACUGUUAAAUCUUGAGGCUCAACUUCAAAAUCGCAGUCGAAACUGUUUGACUAGAGUAUAGUAGGGGUAAAGGGAAUUUCCAGUGGAGCGGUGAAAUGCGUAGAUAUUGGAAAGAACACCGAUGGCGAAAGCACUUUACUGGGCUAUUACUAACACUCAGAGACGAAAGCUAGGGUAGCAAAUGGGAUUAGAUACCCCAGUAGUCCUAGCCGUAAACAAUGGAUACUAGAUGUUGAACAGAUCGACCUGUGCAGUAUCAAAGCUAACGCGUUAAGUAUCCCGCCUGGGAAGUAUGCUCGCAAGAGUGAAACUCAAAG